AUCAGGUAGGACUACCCGCUGAACUUAAGCAUAUCAAUAAGGCGGAGG
RNAcentral lists this ribosomal RNA (48 nucleotides) under Ganoderma ryvardenii. RNAcentral describes it as "partial 26S ribosomal RNA". The record is from RNAcentral. Lineage: Eukaryota; Fungi; Basidiomycota; Agaricomycetes; Polyporales; Polyporaceae.